GCCAGUGAUAAACUGGAGGAAGGUGGGGAUGACGUCAAGUCAUCAUGGCCCUUACGACCAGGGCUACACACGUGCUACAAUGGCGCAUACAAAGAGAAGCGACCUCGCGAGAGCAAGCGGACCUCAUAAAGUGCGUCGUAGUCCGGAUUGGAGUCUGCAACUCGACUCCAUGAAGUCGGAAUCGCUAGUAAUCGUGGAUCAGAAUGCCACGGUGAAUACGUUCCCGGGCCUUGUACACACCGCCCGUCACACCAUGGGAGUGGGUUGCAAAAGAAGUAGGUAGCUUAACCUUCGGGAGGGCGCUUACCACUUUGUGAUUCAUGACUGGGGUGAAGUCGUAACAAGGUAACCGUAGGGGAACCUGCGGUUGGAUCACCUCCUUACCUGAAAGAA
This 393-nucleotide ribosomal RNA is filed under the name Salmonella enterica. RNAcentral describes it as "bacterial SSU rRNA". It matches the Rfam family "Bacterial small subunit ribosomal RNA", at positions 1151 to 1533 of the family's 1533-position model. Lineage: Bacteria; Pseudomonadati; Pseudomonadota; Gammaproteobacteria; Enterobacterales; Enterobacteriaceae. The record is from RNAcentral.